GCCAGUCCCAAAGCACAAAAGGGCAUUGAGAAGCUUCUCUCACUGGCUCGCUCGCUUGCACACUCACACACACACCCUUCACAGCACCCAGCAUUGGAUCUUUUGUUCCCUUCACUGGGAAAAGUCGCCUCACCCAGAGUCCUGGCUGGGUGACCAGCCAAAACCUCACACGGGUGGGAGGAAGCAGAGAACCGAGGAUCUUUUCAAGGACAGCAGCUCUCUCUGUGUGUCUUUGAUUUGGACCAACACUUGUUUUCCUGGGCAUGUUAACAGCUGUGUGAAUCAGAAAUCCAACAGGUACCUAAAAUUGGCUUCUAGAGACAGGCUGCCUCAUCAUUCCUGCAGCCCCAUACAUCUGUUGGUUUUUCUAAGGCUGGGAUCUGAAUUGUUCCAUAAACCUGGAUUGUUGCCCUGAAAAGGAUGAGAGGAAUGAUAUGGAUGAAUCAUGUAAAGUUAUUCAGUAUAUCAUUUUGCAGUGCUGCUUCAUUCUGCCUGAUCCUUGGAGGGUCUGGAUUAUUUAUUAAUUUUUGUGAAAGUUGUUUUGAAUAGGGCUGUUUGGCCGAAUACUUGUUAAGUUGCCCUGAUCUCUUAGUAGCCAUAAAUCUUGUAAAUAAAAUAAAAUAAAGAGGCACAUGUUUGUUCUCUCACUAUAAAAAGAAAUGUCUCUUCCACUGAGUUACAGAUUGUACAGCAGGAAGAGUGAAUUCCUAACAUGAGCAAAGCCAAUACUCAGAAAACAGGAGAAUUCCAGACAGAAAACAAUCAGGGCCAGCUAACACCUCCUAACAAAGGAUUCUUCCAGGCAAUAAGCAACCAGUCCUUGAAGCUGCAAGGCCAUUAAAUGCUAAUCCAGGUGGCCAAUUGCUACAUUAACACUUGCCUCAAACAGACAAGAGUUCUUUCUCCCACCCUGGACUUUCCACAGAUAUAUAAAGUCCUCUUGUCUAGUUUUCAACAGACCACACAACCUCUGAGGAUGCCUGCCUUAGAUGCAGGUGAAAUGUCAGAAGACAAUGCUUCUGGAACAUGGUCCUACAG
This 1038-nucleotide long non-coding RNA is filed under the name Anolis carolinensis (green anole). RNAcentral's name for it is "lncRNA (ENSACAG00000037195.1)". Lineage: Eukaryota; Metazoa; Chordata; Lepidosauria; Squamata; Anolidae. The record is from RNAcentral.